This 2037-nucleotide unclassified non-coding RNA is filed under the name Pocillopora damicornis (cauliflower coral). RNAcentral's name for it is "sTE20-related kinase adapter protein alpha-like, transcript variant X2". The record is from RNAcentral. Lineage: Eukaryota; Metazoa; Cnidaria; Anthozoa; Scleractinia; Pocilloporidae.
AGUGUUAUUUGUAAGUAAAGGGGGCCACGAAACGCACACCCAAGGGAAGGAGAGAUCAGUUUACAAAUGCCCUGGGCCUCAGUGCAUGGAACGCGUACUCUUGCUUUGUGUUGUUGCAACAAAAUCCAGGUAUUUAAAUUCCGUCGAUGGAUCGUGUGGCAUCUGAACCUUCGGUGGAGCGUGAGGCUGAGUGUAUUUGCGUUGACACGGCACAUGUAGCCGUUUCACCAGCAGAAAUUGUGAAUCAAGCACCAAAUCAGCAAAUAUCUACAGAUCAGGGAACAAUGUCAUUGGAAGUUUUGAACCUUUGCCAAUCAAGAAUGGUGUUUCUUCCAAAUCCUCUGGAAUAUAAGCUUCUUAACUUCAUUGGUAAGGGAUUUGAUGAACUUUCCAAAGUGUAUGUGGCCAGUCAUUGUCCUUCAAAAUCACUAGUUGUUGUGAAGCAGACUAAUGUUGAUGUUCAAAAUCCUGCACAGCUGGAAGAUUUAAAGAAUGAAGUGCAAGUGAUGCGGUCCCUCUGUCACCCAAAUAUUCUGCCCUUUUACUGUUCAUUUGUGACCAGGCAUGAGGUGUGGCAUGUCCUCCCUCUAAUGCAGUUAGGAUCAUGUUCUGAUAUUUUGAAGACAAGGUUUCAUGAUGGUAUGGGUGAAAUUAUUGUUGCUGCAAUUCUCUAUGAGGUCCUGCAAGGUUUAGAGUAUCUUCACAAGAUGGGUAUCAUCCACAGGGCCAUCAAAGGAAGUCACAUUUUACUUGGUGCAGAUGGAACAGUGUGCUUGUCAGGUUUGAGGAAAUCUAUCAUGCUCCUCCAGGAAAGCAAAAGUUCUAGGAUUGCUCAUCAUUUUCCAGCACAUGCAGUUGCUGUUUUACCAUGGAUGGCACCAGAAAUUUUGCAACAGGAUCUUCAAGGUUAUGAUUACAAGUCUGAUAUUUACAGUGUUGGCAUAACUGCUAUACAGUUGGCCAGAGGGACUGUUCCAUACAUUGGAAUGCCACCCACCAAGGUAUUGUUGGAGAAACUGAAAGGUAGCACUCCAAAGCUGUGUGACUCACUGGUAAUGAAUGACGUGGACACCUCGGCACAGUUGACUUCAGCUACCGACUCGGGUUUCGGCAGCGACCUCCCUUCCGCCGGUGAAGGAAAAGAGUCAAAUCAAGUCACAUUCCAGGGCCUGUUCUCCCUUGCUUUUCAGCAGGUUGUUGACUCAUGUUUGCAAAGAGAUCCUUCGUUAAGGUAAAAUGGCACCUUUUAAGUUUUUGAUACCUCCGGUUGAAAGAAAAGGAAACCUUGCUUCCAUUGGUAGGACACAAGAAAGAUAAAAAAGAAAGAGCAAUCGAUUCCUAUCUCAUUACUGCAAAGAUCGCUUUCAUAUUCGAUUCCUAUUUCCUUAGCGAAACUGGUAUUGAUUUUGUUUCCCUCUGAUAUUAAACUAAGAAAUUUUGACGAAUAUUUCGCCGGCUUUUUAAAUAGUUUUUUAGAUAUAUGGGCACGAAACAUGGCCAAUCAUAAAACAAAGUUGAGGAAAUAAUUAGAGCCCUUAGUUGUAUCGAUGAAAGCAUGUGCACUUAACCGGCCCAAAGUGCGGGAAAAUGUGAGUGCCGUAGUCACUAUUGGUUGCAGCCGUACUUCUGAUUGGUUGAAAGGGUGGUUCGUUGUUUGUCGACCAAUCACAGAACGUGACUUCUAUUAGUGAAAAAGACCGCGGUUCUGUCUGUGAAAAAUGAUCGAAAUAAAAUCAAUCUCAGAGCGUGAUUGAUGCAAAACAAUUUCAUCUCGCAUCACUUUCCUUAUUCGAUUGAAAACUGUUUCUACGAAGAAAUUCUCGGAUUACCGAUACUACAAGUUGAUUUUGCACGCAGAAACAACUACAACUUUCCUCUUAUUGACAGACCAACAGCUCCCGGCUUGGCAUCCCAUGUGUUCUUCAAGCAGGUGAAGCGGAAAGCGAAGGAGCUCUUGCCUGAUCUCUUGUCUUCCGUUCCAUCGCUCGCAAACUGUGAGAGAGAUAAACGCAUUGACCAAGAAAAUGCUACUGCGGG